UGGGAACGCGAAGAACCUUACCAGGUCUUGACAUCCUUUGACAAUCCUAGAGAUAGGACUUUCCCUUCGGGGACAAAGUGACAGGUGGUGCAUGGUUGUCGUCAGCUCGUGUCGUGAGAUGUUGGGUUAAGUCCCGCAACGAGCGCAACCCUUGUCCUUAGUUGCCAUCAUUAAGUUGGGGACUCUGGAAGGACCGCUGCGGUAACAACGCAGAGGAAGAUGGGGACGACGUCAAGUCAUCAUGGUCCUUAUGACCGGGGCUACACACGUGCUACAAUGGUAGUUACAGAGGGAUGCGAAGCAGUGAUGUGGAGCGAAUCUCAGAAAAGCUACCACAGUUCGGAUUGAGGUCUGCAACUCGACCUCAUGAAGCAGGAAUCGCUAGUAAUCGCGCAACAUCAUGGCGCGGUGAAUACGUUCCCGGGUCUUGUACACACCG
Molecule: ribosomal RNA, 439 nt
Filed under: uncultured bacterium
Lineage: Bacteria
Description: bacterial SSU rRNA
Rfam family: Bacterial small subunit ribosomal RNA
Source: RNAcentral